UGUUGAAGGUUCAAAGCAAUCACCAGACUGCAGAUAAUAAAUCAGUUACCCAGCUUCUUUGAAUUAAUGAAAAAAUGGAGUCUUAAAACUAGUUUACUAGUAAUGAAAAAUGUUACUAACGUUUCUAUUAGGUAAUUAGAUGUUACUAUCCAUCUUUUUACAUAUGGAUGCAAAAAUGAAGGUAUUACAGCAGUGACUAUUUUGAGACUAUGGAAGUCAGUGACAAGGUUUGUCUGUAUCAGACUUUCUGCCUUGACUACAGCUUCCAACAGGCUGACCAGCUGAGGAUUUAACUGCUUUGGCACCUUACUCUGCUCAAACUGUUGUGGUUCCACUUGGAAAUAUUUAAAACAAAGCAAAAGGGUCUUCCAGAGACCAGCAGAGUUACAAAUAAAGAAGUAUUUGAGAAGCA
RNAcentral lists this long non-coding RNA (412 nucleotides) under Anser brachyrhynchus (Pink-footed goose). RNAcentral's name for it is "lncRNA (ENSABRG00000020054.1)". The record is from RNAcentral. Lineage: Eukaryota; Metazoa; Chordata; Aves; Anseriformes; Anatidae.